GGGGGCGGCAGGGUAGCCUAGUGGUUAGAGUGGAGGGGUGGCAGGGUAGCCUAGUGGUUAGAGUGUAGAGGUGGCAGGGUAGCCUAGUGGUUAGAGUGGAGGGGCGGCAGGGUAGCCUAGUGGUUAGAGUGUAGAGGUGGCAGGGUAGCCUAGUGGUUAGAGUGGAGGGGUGGCAGGGUAGCCUAGUGGUUAGAGUGGAGGGGCGGCAGGGUAGCCUAGUGGUUAGAGUGGAGGGGCGGCAGGGUAGCCUAGUGGUUAGGUAGCCUAGUGGUUAGGUAGCCUAGUGGUUAGAACGUUGGACUAGUAACCGGAAGGUUGCAAGUUCAAACCCCUGAGCUGACAAGGUACAAAU
Molecule: long non-coding RNA, 352 nt
Organism: Oncorhynchus tshawytscha (Chinook salmon)
Lineage: Eukaryota; Metazoa; Chordata; Actinopteri; Salmoniformes; Salmonidae
Source: Ensembl